RNAcentral lists this ribosomal RNA (814 nucleotides) under uncultured bacterium. RNAcentral describes it as "bacterial SSU rRNA". It matches the Rfam family "Bacterial small subunit ribosomal RNA", at positions 8 to 796 of the family's 1533-position model. The record is from RNAcentral.
AGAGUUUGAUCCUGGCUCAGAAUGAACGCUGGCGGCGUGCUUAACACAUGCAAGUCGAACGAGAAAGGGAUUGCUUGCAGUCCCGAGUAGAGUGGCGCACGGGUGAGUAACACGUAGAUAAUCUGCCUUCAAGCCUGGGAUAACUAUUCGAAAGGGUAGCUAAUACCGGAUAAAGUCGAUCUACACAAGUAGAUUGAUGAAAGAUUGCCUCUUCUUGAAAGCAAUUGUUUGGAGAUGAGUUUGCGUACCAUUAGCUUGUUGGUGGGGUAAAGGCCUACCAAGGCAACGAUGGUUAGCUGGUCUGAGAGGAUGAUCAGCCACACUGGAACUGGAACACGGUCCAGACUCCUACGGGAGGCAGCAGUGAGGAAUUUUGCGCAAUGGGGGCAACCCUGACGCAGCAACGCCGCGUGAGUGAAGAAGGCCUUUGGGUCGUAAAGCUCUGUCAACAGGGAAGAAGUUACAAUUGUUUAAUAGAUGGUUGUAUUGACGGUACCUGUGGAGGAAGCGCCGGCUAACUCCGUGCCAGCAGCCGCGGUAAUACGGGGGGCGCAAGCGUUAUUCGGAAUUAUUGGGCGUAAAGGGCGUGCAGGCGGUCUUGUCCGUCAGGUGUGAAAGCUCGGGGCUCAACCCCGGAAGUGCACUUGAAACAGCAAGACUUGAAUACGGGAGAGGAAAGCGGAAUUCCUGGUGUAGAGGUGAAAUUCGUAGAUAUCAGGAGGAACACCGAUGGCGAAGGCAGCUUUCUGGACCGAUAUUGACGCUGAGGCGCGAAGGCGUGGGUAGCAAACGGGAUUAGAUACCCUGGUAGUCG